Molecule: ribosomal RNA, 253 nt
Filed under: uncultured bacterium
Lineage: Bacteria
Description: partial 16S ribosomal RNA
Rfam family: Bacterial small subunit ribosomal RNA
Source: RNAcentral
GACAGAGGGUGCGAACGUUGCUCGGAAUUACUGGGCGUAAAGCGCGUGUAGGCGGGUGAUCAAGUCAGGUGUGAAAUCCCCAGGCUCAACCUGGGAACUGCACUUGAAACUGGUCGUCUUGAGUGUUGGAGAGGGAAGCGGAAUUCCUGGUGUAGAGGUGAAAUUCGUAGAUAUCAGGAGGAACACCGGUGGCGAAGGCGGCUUCCUGGACAAUUACUGACGCUGAGACGCGAAAGCGUGGGGAGCAAACAGG